UGUGUGUGUAUAUGUCAGUAUCGAUUGUGUGACAUAUACAAUCGAUAUCACACACAGUGUGAGUGUGUGUGUGUGUUUGUCAGUAUUGAUUGUGUGUGUGUGUGUGUGCAUGUUUAUGUGUGUGUUUGUUUGUGUGUGUAUAUGUCAGUAUUGAUUGUGUGUGUGUGUGUGUGUGUGUGUGUGUAUGUCUGUAUUGAUUGUGUGUUUGUGUAUAUGCCAGUAUUGAUUGUGUAUGUGUGUGUGUGUUUGUGUGUAUGUCCAUAUUGAUUGUGUGUGUGUGUUUGUGUGUAUGUCAGUAUUGAUUGUGUGUGGGUGUGUGUGGUUAUGUGUGUAUAUGUCAGUAUUGAUUGUGUAUGUGUGUGUGUAUAUGUCCGCAUUGAUUGUGUGUGUGUGUGUGUGUGUGUGUGUGUGUGUGUGUAUGUCAGUAUUGAUUGUGUGUGGGUGUGUGUGUUUAUGUGUGUAUAUGUCAGUAUUGAUUGUGUGUGUGUUUGUGUGUGUGUGUGUAUGUCAAUAUUGAUUGUGUGUGUGUUUCUGUGUGUGUAUGUCAGUAUUGAUUGUGUGUGUGUGUUUGUGUGUAUGUCAGUGUUGAUUGUGUGUGUGUGUGUUUGUGUGUAUGUCAGUGUUGAUUGUGUGUGUGUGUUUGUGUGUAUGUCAGUAUUGACUGUGUGUGUGUGUGUUUGUGUGUAUGUCAGUGUUGAUUGUGUGUGUGUGUGUGUGUGUGUGUUUGUUAUUGAUGUGUGUGUGUGUGUGUGUGUUUGUGUGUAUGUCAGUGUGAUUGUGUGUGUGUGUGUGUGUGUGUUUGUGUGUAUGUCAGUAUUGAUUGUGUGUGUGUGUGUG
Molecule: long non-coding RNA, 837 nt
Organism: Ictalurus punctatus (channel catfish)
Lineage: Eukaryota; Metazoa; Chordata; Actinopteri; Siluriformes; Ictaluridae
Source: Ensembl